UGGCUCAGAUGGUAAAGCACCUGCCUACAGUGCAGGAGACCCAGGUUCGAUCCCUGG
Molecule: transfer RNA, 57 nt
Filed under: Ovis aries (sheep)
Lineage: Eukaryota; Metazoa; Chordata; Mammalia; Artiodactyla; Bovidae
Rfam family: tRNA
About the family: Transfer RNA (tRNA) molecules are approximately 80 nucleotides in length. Their secondary structure includes four short double-helical elements and three loops (D, anti-codon, and T loops). Further hydrogen bonds mediate the characteristic L-shaped molecular structure. tRNAs have two regions of fundamental functional importance: the anti-codon, which is responsible for specific mRNA codon recognition, and the 3' end, to which the tRNAs corresponding amino acid is attached (by aminoacyl-tRNA synthetases). tRNAs cope with the degeneracy of the genetic code in two manners: having more than one tRNA (with a specific anti-codon) for a particular amino acid; and 'wobble' base-pairing, i.e. permitting non-standard base-pairing at the 3rd anti-codon position.
Source: Rfam by way of RNAcentral